This 511-nucleotide ribosomal RNA is filed under the name Anaspides driesseni. RNAcentral describes it as "partial large subunit ribosomal RNA". It matches the Rfam family "Bacterial large subunit ribosomal RNA", at positions 1829 to 2600 of the family's 2925-position model. Lineage: Eukaryota; Metazoa; Arthropoda; Malacostraca; Anaspidacea; Anaspididae. The record is from RNAcentral.
GUCUGUAUGGAAGAAAUAUAAAGUCUAACCUGCCCACUGAGAUAUUAAAAGGCCGCGGUAUAUUAACCGUGCGAAGGUAGCAUAAUCAUUAGUCUUUUAAUUGAAGGCUGGAAUGAAUGGUUGAACAAAAAAUAGUCUGUCUCGUUGUUAAAAUUAAAAUUUGACCUUUAAGUAAAAAGGCUUAAAUAAUAUAGAAUGACGAUAAGACCCUAUAAAGCUUAAUAUUUAAAAAAUAAUUAAUAAUUAAAAUUUAAAAAUUGCUUAUUUUAAAAAAUAUUGUGUUGGGGCGACAAAAAUAAAAAUUGUAACUGUUUUCUAUUUAAAACUUAUAAUAAAAGAAAAAAUGAUCCUUUAAUAAAGAUUAAAAGAUUAAGUUACUUUAGGGAUAACAGCGUAAUCUUUUUUAAGAGUUCGUAUCGACAAAAAGACUUGCGACCUCGAUGUUGAAUUAAGAAAUCCUUUUGAAGCAGCAUUCAAAAAGGAAGGUCUGUUCGACCUUUAAAUUCUUACA